RNAcentral lists this ribosomal RNA (1368 nucleotides) under Triticum aestivum (bread wheat). Its description in RNAcentral is "partial small subunit ribosomal RNA". Lineage: Eukaryota; Viridiplantae; Streptophyta; Magnoliopsida; Poales; Poaceae. The record is from RNAcentral.
AUGGGGAGAAUACUUUCUUUGUUGGUAUAUAACGCAACCAUCUCCCAAAAGUGCCCCUUGAAACAUCCACAGGCUACCGUCAACAUCUUGCCUCAAACUAGAAGGCUCGUCAACCAAUGUGAGCCACCUUGGAGGCUCACUUGCAUCUACGGCGAGCCCGGACGGAGCACCGACACCACAUGUGGCCGCUCCUUCGGGAUCUUCACCUUCGGGACUGCGUACACAUAUGAUAACCGGCGGUCCGGACGAGCAAAUGUCAAGGUGCGGCUGGACCGGGCAGUGGCAAAUAAUUUGUGGCGUGAUUUAUUCAUGGAGGCGAAAGUCCAACACUUGGUGGCACCAACCUCUGACCAUGACCCGAUCCUCCUUCAGUGGGUUCCUGAACUGCCUAGGGAGAAGGCGGGCAGGAGGUGUCGCCACUAUGAGGUGGCGUGGGAACGUGACCACGCACUGCCGGAGGUGAUCCUACAGGCUUGGACAGCGGCUGGUAGUAUGGGGGACCUGGGCGACGUUGCGGCGUCCCUAGGGGAGCUCAUGCAUGCGUUGCAAGGGUGGAUCGACAUUGACAUCAUCACGAGCAUCAAGUCCUCUCCACGCGCCACGGAGGAUGUCCUAGCUUGGGCUCCGGAGAAAUCUGGUGUCUUCUCCGUUCGGUCAGCCUACCGUUUUGCCAUAGACGAGCGCGAGCGUCCAUCGGCAAGCGCCUCGAGCAGGGCACCGGAUGGUCGUCGCGCCAUCUGGAAGACAAUAUGGGGGUGCCCUGCUCCCCCAAAGGUACGAGUGUUUGCAUGGCGGCUGGUCUCAAACUCCCUUGCUACUUGGGCUAAUAAAUUUUCUAGAACUUUGGAGCCUAAUGAUAUGUGUCCACUUUGUGGUGUGGAACGCGAGGAUGUCUUCCAUGCUAUGUGCAGAUGUCCACGGGCAAAGGACCUAUGGAGCGCCAUGGCGAAGGACUGGAUUCUUCCGGACAUCAGUUUGAUCCAGAACACGGGGCCGGAGUGGUUAUUCGGUGUUCUGGAGCCCCUCUCAGAUACUUCUCGCAUGGUGGCCCUAAUGAUAUUCUGGAGAUCAUGGCACGUUCGUAAUGAGAUCAUUCAUGACAAGGAACCGCCCCCCACAGAAGUUUCCUGCAGAUUCUUGCAUAGCUAUAUUUCUUCGCUUCUCUGUAUUCAGCAGCACCCAAUGGGAGACGUUGUAAAAGGCAAAAUGGUGCUCACAGACCCGGCAUGCCUAGCUGGUGUAGUUGCUGCGCCGGUGCCGAGCACGAGAGGCGCAGACCCGCGACCAACAGAGAAGUGGGAGCCUCCCCCUGCUGGAUGGCUAAAGCUGAACGUCGACGGUGCCUUCUCCGAGCAGGGCCGGCCCUGA